GGCCGGCUGGCGCAAUGGUAGCGCGUCAGACUUCUAUCAUCUCUUCUGAGAAAUAGCCAUCUGAAGGCUGCGGGUUCGAGCCCCGCGUUGGUCA
Molecule: transfer RNA, 94 nt
Filed under: Colletotrichum tofieldiae
Lineage: Eukaryota; Fungi; Ascomycota; Sordariomycetes; Glomerellales; Glomerellaceae
Rfam family: tRNA
About the family: Transfer RNA (tRNA) molecules are approximately 80 nucleotides in length. Their secondary structure includes four short double-helical elements and three loops (D, anti-codon, and T loops).
Source: Rfam by way of RNAcentral